This 1161-nucleotide long non-coding RNA is filed under the name Homo sapiens (human). RNAcentral describes it as "HSALNT0359823". Lineage: Eukaryota; Metazoa; Chordata; Mammalia; Primates; Hominidae. The record is from RNAcentral.
GGUGGACCCAAUGGAAAGGGAGGGGGUUUGUCUUUCAGAUCAAACCUUACAAACAGCAAUUUUCUAUUUGUUCAAAACAGAUGUUAGGACCAUUUUCCCUCCCCAGUGCCACUUUAAGGGGCUUUUAGGGAUGACCACUGAGAGUCUGAGAUGUUCUGAGCAACACUGCCUCAUCUUUCAUCCAAAGUUGGCUGGCAAAGGAUCCAUGAGACUAUGCAAAGCACUCACCAGUGUUCCCAUGUUUUGAGAUUUGCACGCCUUUGAUAUUUUGACGGGAAAAGAGCAUCACCACAAAACAAGCCGCUAGAGGAUUAAAGGAGAUUUAUCACCCAGAAGGGUUCUAGGUAUCAUGGUUAACUGAGGUUUACUCACUUCGGAGAGAAUGCCCCAGUGGGAGAAAAUGUAACCUGAUUGGUCUUGAAAGAGAAUGCCAGCCCAAAUAAGAAUAAACAAACAAACAAAUGGACAGAGAAUCUCAGGAGGAGAAUAGAAUUAACUGGAAGGACACCACCAGGGGAAUUUGACAAAGGGCCAACAAUGGAAUUGAUUAGAUUGCUACCUGGAACAGUGGGUAGGUAAGCAGAGAAACCAAGGUAGGGCAGGGGCAUGAUGUCUGAGCCAUGCCCUCCCUAGAGACCUCCUCUUUGCCCUAAUGGCUUAAAGUCAGGGCCAUUUCAGGAAGGACAGCAUCUCAAAUGCUCAUCUAGGGACUAUGAGCCCCUCAGAUCACCUCAGUCUUUAAAACCAACUGCAAAGGUGCAUCUCCUAAACCUGACUACUAAUCAUUCCUCACAGAGAAUGGAAUCUGGGAUUCUCUAGAACCUUCUACCUGAUGGAGGCCUUUCAGUGUUCUGUUUAGCCACAGAGCUGGUGCCUUUUCUGCUAGACCACCACCUAAUGAUUCCAGAGGACUCACUCCCCUAAACCAGUUACCCUCUCCCACAAGUACCCAGGGCCUUGCUAUCCACUUCUUGGAUGAAAAUAUUUGGAUCAGACUCAGACACCUUGACCCCGGUUCAGUUUUUCCUGGGGAGCGGCUGUGGCCCCCUCUGAUGCCCCCAGCUCAAUGCAUCACAGAAAGAAUUCCAGCCACUCAGCAACCUCUUGUGAUCUUCCAGGUGAGCAGGUUAACAAAUUAAAGAAUCAUUACCAUUACCAUUA